Molecule: ribosomal RNA, 615 nt
Filed under: uncultured Bacteroides sp.
Lineage: Bacteria; Pseudomonadati; Bacteroidota; Bacteroidia; Bacteroidales; Bacteroidaceae
Description: bacterial SSU rRNA
Rfam family: Bacterial small subunit ribosomal RNA
Source: RNAcentral
GAUGAACGCUAGCUACAGGCUUAACACAUGCAAGUCGAGGGGCAGCAUCAUCAAAGCUUGCUUUGAUGGAUGGCGACCGGCGCACGGGUGAGUAACACGUAUCCAACCUGCCGACAACACUGGGAUAGCCUUUCGAAAGAAAGAUUAAUACCGGAUGGCAUAGUUUUCCCGCAUGGGAUGAUUAUUAAAGAAUUUCGGUUGUCGAUGGGGAUGCGUUCCAUUAGGCAGUUGGCGGGGUAACGGCCCACCAAACCUACGAUGGAUAGGGGUUCUGAGAGGAAGGUCCCCCACAUUGGAACUGAGACACGGUCCAAACUCCUACGGGAGGCAGCAGUGAGGAAUAUUGGUCAAUGGACGAGAGUCUGAACCAGCCAAGUAGCGUGAAGGAUGACUGCCCUAUGGGUUGUAAACUUCUUUUAUACGGGAAUAAAGUGAGCCACGUGUGGCUUUUUGUAUGUACCGUAUGAAUAAGGAUCGGCUAACUCCGUGCCAGCAGCCGCGGUAAUACGGAGGAUUCGAGCGUUAUCCGGAUUUAUUGGGUUUAAAGGGAGCGUAGGCGGGUUGUUAAGUCAGUUGUGAAAGUUUGCGGCUCAACCGUAAAAUUGCAGUUGAUAC